UGGGGAAUUUUGCGCAAUGGGGGAAACCCUGACGCAGCAACGCCGCGUGAGUGAUGAAGGCCUUCGGGUCGUAAAGCUCUGUCUAGAGGGAAGAAGUGAUAUUUGGCUAAUACCCAGAUUUCUUGACGGUACCUGUGAAGGAAGCACCGGCUAACUCCGUGCCAGCAGCCGCGGUAAUACGGAGGGUGCGAGCGUUGUUCGGAAUUAUUGGGCGUAAAGCGCGUGUAGGCGGUUUGUUAAGUCUGAUGUGAAAGCCCUGGGCUCAACCUGGGAAGUGCAUUGGAAACUGGCGGACUUGAAUACGGGAGAGGGUAGUGGAAUUCCGAGUGUAGGAGUGAAAUCCGUAGAUAUUCGGAGGAACACCGGUGGCGAAGGCGGCUACCUGGACCGAUAUUGACGCUGAGACGCGAAAGCGUGGGUAGCAAACAGGAUUAGAUACCCUGGUAGUCCACGCCGUAAACGAUGAGUACUAGGUGUUGCGGGUAUUGA
RNAcentral lists this ribosomal RNA (489 nucleotides) under uncultured bacterium. Its description in RNAcentral is "bacterial SSU rRNA". It matches the Rfam family "Bacterial small subunit ribosomal RNA", at positions 355 to 835 of the family's 1533-position model. The record is from RNAcentral.